GAUGAACGCUGGCGGCGUGCCUAAUACAUGCAAGUCGAACGCUGGAAAUCUAGCUUGCUAGAUUGAAGGAGUGGCGAACGGGUGAGUAAUACAUAAGCAACCUACCCACGAAGACUGGGAUAAUCUCUGGAAACGGGGACUAAUACCGGAUAGGUAAUCGGAAGGCAUCUUCUGAUUAUUAAAGGUUAAAAACACUGGUGGAUGGGCUUAUGGCGCAUUAGUUAGUUGGUGAGGUAACGGCCCACCAAGACGAUGAUGCGUAGCCGGCCUGAGAGGGUGAACGGCCACAUUGGGACUGGGACACGGCCCAGACUCCUACGGGAGGCAGCAGUAGGGAAUUUUCGGCAAUGGGGGAAACCCUGACCGAGCAACGCCGCGUGAGUGAUGACGGCCUUCGGGUUGUAAAGCUCUGUUGUAAGGGAAGAACGGUAGAUAGAGAAUAUCUAAAUGACGGUACCUUACCAGAAAGCCACGGCUAACUACGUG
Molecule: ribosomal RNA, 486 nt
Filed under: uncultured bacterium
Lineage: Bacteria
Description: partial 16S ribosomal RNA
Rfam family: Bacterial small subunit ribosomal RNA
Source: RNAcentral